RNAcentral lists this ribosomal RNA (253 nucleotides) under uncultured bacterium. Its description in RNAcentral is "partial 16S ribosomal RNA". It matches the Rfam family "Bacterial small subunit ribosomal RNA", at positions 524 to 776 of the family's 1533-position model. The record is from RNAcentral.
UACGUAGGGGGCAAGCGUUGUCCGGAUUUAUUGGGCGUAAAGAGCGUGUAGGCGGUCUGGUAGGUCCGUUGUGAAAACUCGAGGCUCAACCUCGAGACGCCGAUGGAAACCAUCAGACUAGAGUCCGGAAGAGGAGAGUGGAAUUCCUGGUGUAGCGGUGAAAUGCGCAGAUAUUGGGAGGAACACCAGUGGCGAAGGCGGCUCACUGGACCGGAACUGACGCUGAGGCGCGAAAGCGUGGGGAGCAAACGGG